RNAcentral lists this transfer RNA (73 nucleotides) under Camelus ferus (Wild Bactrian camel). It matches the Rfam family "tRNA". Rfam says of the family: Transfer RNA (tRNA) molecules are approximately 80 nucleotides in length. Their secondary structure includes four short double-helical elements and three loops (D, anti-codon, and T loops). Lineage: Eukaryota; Metazoa; Chordata; Mammalia; Artiodactyla; Camelidae. The record is from Rfam by way of RNAcentral.
GAGGGUAUAGCUCUACUGGUAGAGUGCAUGCUUAGCAUGUUUGAGAUCUGGGUUUUAAUCCCCAGUACCUCCA